CCUACGGGUGGCAGCAGUGGGGAAUAUUGGACAAUGGGGGGAACCCUGCUCCAGCGACGCCGCGUGAGUGAAGAAGUAUUUCGGUAUGUAAAGCCCUAUCAGCAGGGAAGAAAGAAAUGAAGGUACCUGCCUAAGAAGCCCCGGCUAACUACGUGCCAGCAGCCGCGGUACUACGUAGGGGGCAAGCGUUAUCCGGAUUUAUGGGGGGGAAAGGGAGCGUAGACGGCGAUGCAAGUAUGAAGUGAAAGGCGGGGGACCAACCGCCGGACGGCUUUGGAAACUGUAUGGCUGGAGUGCAGGAGAGGAAAGUGGAAUUCCAAGUGUAGCGGUGAAAUGCGUAGAUAUUAGGAGGAACACCAGUGGCGAAGGCGGCUUACUGGACUGUAACUGACGUUGAGGCUCGAAAGCGUGGGGAGCAAACAGGAUUAGAUACCCCUGUAGUC
Molecule: ribosomal RNA, 443 nt
Filed under: uncultured bacterium
Lineage: Bacteria
Description: partial 16S ribosomal RNA
Rfam family: Bacterial small subunit ribosomal RNA
Source: RNAcentral